Molecule: ribosomal RNA, 497 nt
Filed under: uncultured bacterium
Lineage: Bacteria
Description: partial 16S ribosomal RNA
Rfam family: Bacterial small subunit ribosomal RNA
Source: RNAcentral
GAUGAACGCUGGCGGCGUGCCUAAUACAUGCAAGUCGAGCGAACGGACGAGAAGCUUGCUUCUCUGAUGUUAGCGGCGGACGGGUGAGUAACACGUGGAUAACCUACCUAUAAGACUGGGAUAACUUCGGGAAACCGGAGCUAAUACCGGAUAAUAUUUUGAACCGCAUGGUUCAAAAGUGAAAGACGGUCUUGCUGUCACUUAUAGAUGGAUCCGCGCUGCAUUAGCUAGUUGGUAAGGUAACGGCUUACCAAGGCAACGAUGCAUAGCCGACCUGAGAGGGUGAGCGGCCACACUGGAACUGAGACACGGUCCAGACUCCUACGGGAGGCAGCAGUAGGGAAUCUUCCGCAAUGGGCGAAAGCCUGACGGAGCAACGCCGCGUGAGUGAUGAAGGUCUUCGGAUCGUAAAACUCUGUUAUUAGGGAAGAACAUAUGUGUAAGUAACUGUGCACAUCUUGACGGUACCUAAUCAGAAAGCCACGGCUAACUACGUG